UUUUCCUACGGGAGGCAGCAGUGGGGAAUAUUGGACAAUGGGGGAAACCCUGAUCCAGCGACGCCGCGUGAGUGAAGAAGUAUUUCGGUACGUAAAGCUCUAUCAGCAGGAAAGAAAAUGACGGUACCUGACUAAGAAGCCCCGGCUAACUACGUGCCAGCAGCCGCGGUAAUACGUAGGGGGCAAGCGUUAUCCGGAUUUACUGGGUGUAAAGGGAGCGUAGACGGCUGAGCAAGUCUGAAGGGAAAGCCCAGGGCUCAACCCUGGGACUGCUUUGGAAACUGUGGA
RNAcentral lists this ribosomal RNA (288 nucleotides) under uncultured bacterium. RNAcentral's name for it is "partial 16S ribosomal RNA". It matches the Rfam family "Bacterial small subunit ribosomal RNA", at positions 334 to 639 of the family's 1533-position model. The record is from RNAcentral.